RNAcentral lists this ribosomal RNA (492 nucleotides) under uncultured bacterium. Its description in RNAcentral is "partial 16S ribosomal RNA". It matches the Rfam family "Bacterial small subunit ribosomal RNA", at positions 29 to 507 of the family's 1533-position model. The record is from RNAcentral.
AGUGAACGCUGGCGGUAGGCCUAACACAUGCCAGUCGAACGGCAGCACAGUAAGAGCUUGCUCUUACGGGUGGCGAGUGGCGGACGGGUGAGGAAUACAUCGGAAUCUACUUUUUCGUGGGGGAUAACGUAGGGAAACUUACGCUAAUACCGCAUACGACCUACGGGUGAAAGCAGGGGAUCUUCGGACCUUGCGCGAUUGAAUGAGCCGAUGUCGGAUUAGCUAGUUGGCGGGGUAAAGGCCCACCAAGGCGACGAUCCGUAGCUGGUCAGAGAGGAUGAUCAGCCACACUGGAACUGAGACACGGUCCAGACUCCUACGGGAGGCAGCAGUGGGGAAUAUUGGACAAUGGGCGCAAGCCUGAUCCAGCCAUACCGCGUGGGUGAAGAAGGCCUUCGGGUUGUAAAGCCCUUUUGUUGGGAAAGAAAAGCAGCAGGUUAAUACCCCGCUGUUCUGACGGUACCCAAAGAAUAAGCACCGGCUAACUUCGCG